GUAGAUGUUUCAGACAGGUCAAAGUCAGCAAUCACCCGCAACUCAAAUCAAAGGUAAGGUUAGGUAAGAUUUGGUAGGGGGAAUAAAAACAGAAAGAUGAACUGGAAUGAGGUAAGUGCAUCAAAAGCUUUUAGAUUCUUCUCAAAUAGCUACUUUUCUACAGUGAUAUUAAGCACUCAAUAUUUAGUAUAUGCCCAGUGUAACUAUUAAGUAAUGUUCUAGCUAGUUAGGUUACACUAAUGUUAGUUUGCUGGCAAUUUUUGCAGCUAACAGCCUAAACUCCAGUCAUGGUAGAGUUCCGCUUUCUACCUCAUUUAACAUAUCUGAUUAUACUCAUCAGACAAUUCCCAAGACAUUUAAGGGCUAAAUUUGCUAUUGGAAGAGAACACAAAUCUCUGUAGGGUCGUGUGUCCCCCCCACCCCAGGCCUGAGUUUGACACUCCUGGGCUACUCCUGGGAAUGUUGGCUAAAUCUUACUUGAUGCAUUUUAAAUUAAUGAUAAAAUUGCACCAGGCUCUCAGGAACACACUAUAACUUAAGCUGUUAGUUGCUAACUGUUGCUAGCAAGCUAACAUUAGCAUAGCUUAAAUAGCUAGGCAUAUGUAGUACUAAGUGUUAAACAUCAUUACUGAAAAUUUGGUAUUUGAGAAGAACAUAAAAGCUUUAGAGGCACUUUUUUUUUUUUCUCAACAGAUUAUCAAAUCUCUUCACUUUGUAUUUAUGGUGUGAGCAUGGCAGAAGACUGUGGUGAAAUUCUUGACCACUUUUCCCUGGGAAUACUGAAUGAGACACCUUUGACAUAAAAUCUGUAUUUCUAAUAUUUGAAUCUUUGGCAUUUGUAUGUAGCUGUUUGAAGUUUUUCAGUCUGACAUCUUACCGCUAGCAAGUUGAAAACAAAGGAAAAUAUAUCAAACACACCGUAGUUAAAAAUUAAUUUUAUGACAUGUGACAUGUCUAUAAAUCAUGCCAUAUGUGUUUUUAUGCCAUGAAUUUUGUGACAUGUCUAUAAUUCAAAUAUACAAAAUUCACACUGAAAUACUUGUCCGCUUCCAGCUUCACAUAAAUGUGGAAAGAUUAAGAUGACAUAUGAACUUGAGUUCCAGCCUCAGUAUUUGGUUCUGAAACUUAAGGGAUGACGAUGAACAGCAUCUUCAGAAUGUGAGAAGAAUGCAUUGUACAUAUCAUGGAGGAAUUACAGUUCACAAUAUAUUGUAAAAGAGUUUGGUGUCACUCCAUCUAUGCAAGAUGGAGUGAUCUACAUGGAGGUUAAGCCAAAACUUAAUAUAAAGUUCAGUCCAGUUCAGUAGUACAACCCCAAUUCUGAAAAGGUUGGGACAGUAUAGAAAAUGCUAAUAAAAACAAAGAGGAGUGAUUUUUAAAUGUAUUUUGACUUGUAUUUAAACCAAAAAUGUAUAAAGAAAAAGUAUUUGAUGUAUUACAUAGUCAACUGCAUAGUUUUUUGAAGAUAAACAUUUAUUUUGAAAUUGAUGCAUGCAACAUGUUCCAACAAAGUUGGGAAUGGGGCAAUUUAGGACUACUAGCG
Molecule: long non-coding RNA, 1543 nt
Organism: Ictalurus punctatus (channel catfish)
Lineage: Eukaryota; Metazoa; Chordata; Actinopteri; Siluriformes; Ictaluridae
Source: Ensembl